GAGUAACCCGUGAGUAACCUGCCCUCCACUCUGGGAUAAGCACUGGAAACGGUGUCUAAUACCGGAUACGAGCUUCCGCCGCAUGGUGAGGAGCUGGAAAGAAUUUUGGUGGGGGAUGGACUCGCGGCCUAUCAGGUAGUUGGUGAGGUAAUGGCUCACCAAGCCGACGACGGGUAGCCGGCCUGAGAGGGUGACCGGCCACACUGGGACUGAGACACGGCCCAGACUCCUACGGGAGGCAGCAGUGGGGAAUAUUGCACAAUGGGCGAAAGCCUGAUGCAGCAACGCCGCGUGAGGGACGACGGCCUUCGGGUUGUAAACCUCUUUUAGUAGGGAAGAAGCGAAAGUGACGGUACCUGCAGAAAAAGCACCGGCUAACUACGUGCCAGCAGCCGCGGUAAUACGUAGGGUGCAAGCGUUGUCCGGAAUUAUUGGGCGUAAAGAGCUCGUAGGCGGUUUGUCGCGUCUGCUGUGAAAUCCGGAGGCUCAACCUCCGGCCUGCAGUGGGUACGGGCAGACUAGAGUGCGGUAGGGGAGAUUGGAAUUCCUGGUGUAGCGGUGGAAUGCGCAGAUAUCAGGAGGAACACCAAUGGCGAAGGCAGAUCUCUGGGCCGUAACUGACGCUGAGGAGCGAAAGCAUGGGGAGCGAACAGGAUUAGAUACCCUGGUAGUCCAUGCCGUAAACGUUGGGAACUAGGCGUAGGGUCCAUUCCACGGAUUCUGUGCCGCAGCUAACGCAUUAAGUUCCCCGCCUGGGGAGUACGGCCGCAAGGCUAAAACUCAAAGGAAUUGACGGGGGCCCGCACAAGCGGCGGAGCAUGCGGAUUAAUUCGAUGCAACGCGAAGAACCUUACCAAGGCUUGACAUAUACCGGAAAAGUUCAGAAAUGUUCUCCCCGCAAGGUCGGUAUACAGGUGGUGCAUGGUUGUCGUCAGCUCGUGUCGUGAGAUGUUGGGUUAAGUCCCGCAACGAGCGCAACCCUCGUUCUAUGUUGCCAGCACGUAAUGGUGGGAACUCAUAGGA
This 1023-nucleotide ribosomal RNA is filed under the name Frigoribacterium sp. D21. RNAcentral describes it as "bacterial SSU rRNA". It matches the Rfam family "Bacterial small subunit ribosomal RNA", at positions 108 to 1146 of the family's 1533-position model. Lineage: Bacteria; Bacillati; Actinomycetota; Actinomycetes; Micrococcales; Microbacteriaceae. The record is from RNAcentral.